AAAGUAAAAAAAAAAGACAUCUACAGCAUUUGCCAUGCGAUCAAAGUAGCCUUCCUUGGCUCUUCUCUCAGCCAAACCAUGUUAAUUCUUUCAAGCCUCCAAUAGAAACAAAUUAUAGAACAGCAAAUACGUAAUCAACCAUCUACAGCUCCGCAAAAAAAUUACUCGCACUGCUGUUGGAUUGCCCUUUUUUCUUCUUGCUCCCUGAAAAUAUUAAAACAUUAAAACCAAACUCAGCAGAGACCUGAAUUAUAUUUUCAACAAUAAGAUGCAUAUUCGUAAGUGAUAGACAUUGAAUCAACAAAUAAAUCAACACAUGGUCGAUCCCCAAAUAAAAAAAAAUGAUGCUAAAGAGGCAGUUAGAAACAGAACUUCCCAGUGCCAUAUGCAGAUUAUAAGAGUACCAAACCUCUUUAUCACAGCAUAUUCAAGUUCCCUUAAAAUUAUAAAUCAAGGUAAUUGAUUUUUAUAGCUGGAUCAUGCGACUUCUAUGAGACAUUCAAAUGUUAAAUCCAUAAUUAAACAUAUAUAUAGCUCCUAUUUCCGCAUAAUUUACUAGCUAAGUUAAGUUUUAGUAUCUCUUUGUAAAAGAAAAUGGAUUAAAGCUUUUAUACAGAAUUAAUGUUUGAGAAAAGCAACAAUCUAGCUCCACCAGCAAGCAACAAAUAAAGAAUAACUUAUCUAACAAAACUGCUUAAAGAUUUAUAAUUCACAUUUAUGCCUCAGACAAGCCAAAGGAUGGUUAUUUCUUCCAAUAAAGUAAACCAAAAUACCUUUUUUAGAACUUGGAGGAUUAAUAUCAACAUCCAUCUCAUCACUAUCACUGUCAGUCACAUCAUCUUGAUCCUUUUGAGUAUCUCCAGAAUUUUGCAGUAAAUCAUCCAAAUCCCAAAGCUUCAACAUUUGAUCAUGUGAUAUGCUGCCGAGAAAUUUUCUGUCGUGAGAAAAAGCUGUAGGACCAAACAAAACUACAUCUCAAACAAAAUUUUUUGAAUAAUUAAGAAACAAAAAAGGAUAAAACACAAAAAGAUAGUAAUUUUCUGUGAAAAUAGGAUUGGCAACUGAAUCACAUCAAUGCAUGUCAGACCUAUAUGCUGGCAAAUACUGCCAAUAAAAAAAUCCUUUUAAGGAAAUAGAUAUAUAGUACCAAGGCGCUCAAUGGGAUACUCUGAAUGCUCCGCAAGUGGUUGGAUGAUUCUGUUGGGUAAUAUGCCUACCAGACUGAAAAAUUUUAACAAAAGAAUCAGAGAAGGGAAUUACGAAGAAGUAUGAUCCACAAAUUGGAUUGAAAGAAUGCCCUCGAAUUCUGAACAAUCUCACCUGAUGAGUCCAUUCUCAGAUCCAGUAACGACCCUAUCUUCAUCAAGCUUCAACAAAGCAUCAACAGAGUUUGGCGAGAGACCAACAAAGCGAUCACUGGAAAUCAAUAAAAAAUAUAUUCAGGGCAUUUCAAGGAGCAAGAAAUCAAUGUGCACAAAUCAUACAUAUUGAGAGAGAUUUCAAUUGAAACUCCUCAUUUGAAGGAAAUAAAAUAUUUCCAAAUGUACUUUUGGCCGUCUGAUAUUCAUAUUUGUUCAAUAAGGUUACCUGCAAUCCUUGAAAAACCCCCAUGAAUACAAUAAUAGUGUUCCAUUUUGUGAUCCACAAAUAACCUUCCGACCAUUCUGAUCACAAAAAGUUACAAAUUAGAAUACAGUAUAAGGUAUCACAGUUGCAUUGGGAAAUAUAUAUUGGCCAUUUGCCUUUACAGUGUCUAUAAUGUUUAUAACCUAUUGAUAAAUAUACUUUAAUGAAGCCAAACAGUAAAAUCAUUUAGAGUGAGAGCAUGUCUUAACCACUUAAGAGUCCAUCCUCAUCCUUUCCACCCCAUGUCAUAAAUAGGUAAUUUAAAAGAGGCAAAAGAAUAAGAAUAGAACAACUUGCACAUGUAAACUUGUACUUGUGUGCCCAGAAAAGUAAAAUUAUGCUUUGGUGUAACUGGAAGAACUUGAAAAGCACAGCAUCUGAAGUAUAUAACAUAAAUGAUACCUUCAUAAUCACAACAGACAGCAACUCUUCUUCAGAAAACUCAGACCGUGUUUGGACCUUAUUGCUUCGAAGGUUGCAAACUGAAAGAGUCCCAUCACCACUAUAACAUGCAAAAGAGAACUUCUUAGAGUUUCACCUUGAAUUACAACAAGGUGAAAAAAGAAAAAAGUGCAGUAGAAAAUUAAAAAAGCCAGCACAAUUGCCACAGGCCCACAGCCCCUCAAAGAAUUGUGAAACUCAUAAAUCUUGCUCAUUCAAAUCUCCAUAUUCUCCCUGUGAAUGUUAUUCUACCAUUAUACAUACUUUAUUCUCACCAAACAAGAAUUGCUUCUGAGUUCUGAAUGUGACUUUUUUUUUUUUACCAAAUCAACUAGAAUCUGGCACCCAAAAAAUCAAAAGAACAGUCCUAUUACCAAAUACCUCCCAUUGAAAAAUCAAAACUCUUCAAACUCUCUCUGUGGUCAAAGGACAACGCUUAUCUUUGUAUAAAUUUUCUAAAUUAAACCAUAAAAUGAAGCUUCACUCUUGUAAUGAGCCCAUCACUAUUUUCAAUUCUAAUUAAAUUUUCUAUUUAUGGAAUUGUACCAAUGGAUUGGCAAUUUUUCUGGCUUUUAAUUGUCAAAUAAAAUAUGCAUAUAGUAUAAAUUCUUGCUAUGACACCAAAUCCUCUCAGCAUCUUAAAGGCACUAGAAGAUAACAAAACAUCUUUAUAGCAUUAAAAGAGUAAAUUGUUUGUAGUGCUGAAAAUACCUCGUCCCUAGGAGUUUCAUGGAAUCAGAGGCAAAAGUCAUAUCUGAAACAUAGUCUUCAUGGGCAUUAAAAGAAUUACAACAAGACCGUUGCCUGGUAUCCCACACCUUAAUACAUCCUUGAUCAUCCCCAGUUGCAAUGGUCGACUCAUUGAGGUUGAUCAAACUAAAAAUGGCAUCCCUGCACAACAAUACGUUAGCAUACAAUAACAGGAGAAAAAGUAAAGCUUAAGAUAUGGGAAACAUAAACAUAAGCCUACUCAUGAGCGUUUUCAACACGAGCAAUCGGCGAUCCAGUUUCUACAUCCGUUGCUAGAAUUGAGCGAUCACUUGAAGCAGUCAAAAUUGCCUGUCCACCGUUUAUGAACCGAACGGCUCUACAGGAGUCAUCAUGCGCUUGCACCUCCAAUAACCUCUUUUGUGACGAGAAAUCAGCAGUAUACCGAUAUAGGUGAAGAUGGCCAGUGAUGAGAGCAGCAGCCACCAUAUGAUCCUGAGGAUGGAAAUCCAUGCCAAAGGGAAUUUUCCCUAAAUCUAUCUCCAUUUCGCUUGCCUCGUCUUCUCUUCUGUUGUGUAUUUUCUUUUGUGUUACGUAUUCUGCUACCAAAGCUCCAAAACCCUUCUUCAAUGGCGACUGGCUACGCAGUAAGCUGCAAUUUUUAGCGGGUGUUUUCUGUUUAUAUAGCAGAAGGAGUUAAGGGGGAAUUAGGGCUGCCGAAGGAACCGGAC
This 3506-nucleotide unclassified non-coding RNA is filed under the name Hevea brasiliensis (rubber tree). Lineage: Eukaryota; Viridiplantae; Streptophyta; Magnoliopsida; Malpighiales; Euphorbiaceae. The record is from RNAcentral.